RNAcentral lists this ribosomal RNA (783 nucleotides) under uncultured bacterium. Its description in RNAcentral is "bacterial SSU rRNA". It matches the Rfam family "Bacterial small subunit ribosomal RNA", at positions 8 to 796 of the family's 1533-position model. The record is from RNAcentral.
AGAGUUUGAUCAUGGCUCAGGACGAACGCUGGCGGCGUGCUUAACACAUGCAAGUCGAACGGUAAGGCCCUUCGGGGUACACGAGUGGCGAACGGGUGAGUAACACGUGGGUAAUCUGCCCUGCACAUCGGGAUAAGCCUGGGAAACUGGGUCUAAUACCGAAUAGGACCACAGGACACAUGUCCUGUGGUGGAAAGCUUUUGCGGUGUGGGAUGGGCCCGCGGCCUAUCAGCUUGUUGGUGGGGUGAUGGCCUACCAAGGCGACGACGGGUAGCCGGCCUGAGAGGGUGUCCGGCCACACUGGGACUGGGAUACGGCCCAGACUCCUACGGGAGGCAGCAGUGGGGAAUAUUGCACAAUGGGCGAAAGCCUGAUGCAGCGACGCCGCGUGGGGGAUGCCGGCCUUCGGGUUGUAAACCUCUUUCACCAUCGACGAAGGUCCGGGUUUUCUCGGGCUGACGGUAGGUGGAGAAGAAGCACCGGCCAACUACGUGCCAGCAGCCGCGGUAAUACGUAGGGUGCGAGCGUUGUCCGGAAUUACUGGGCGUAAAGAGCUCGUAGGUGGUUUGUCGCGUUGUUCGUGAAAUCUCACGGCUUAACUGUGAGCGUGCGGGCGAUACGGGCAGACUUGAGUACUGCAGGGGAGACUGGAAUUCCUGGUGUAGCGGUGGAAUGCGCAGAUAUCAGGAGGAACACCGGUGGCGAAGGCGGGUCUCUGGGCAGUAACUGACGCUGAGGAGCGAAAGCGUGGGGAGCGAACAGGAUUAGAUACCCUGGUAGUCC